Molecule: ribosomal RNA, 301 nt
Filed under: uncultured bacterium
Lineage: Bacteria
Description: partial 16S ribosomal RNA
Rfam family: Bacterial small subunit ribosomal RNA
Source: RNAcentral
CAGCCGCCGCGGUAAAACGAAGGGUGCAAGCGUUAAUCGGAAUUACUGGGCGUAAAGCGUGCGUAGGCGGUUUGUUAAGUCUGUUGUGAAAUCCCCGGGCUCAACCUGGGAAUGGCAAUGGAUACUGGCAAGCUGGAGUGUGUCAGAGGAUGGUGGAAUUCCCGGUGUAGCGGUGAAAUGCGUAGAGAUCGGGAGGAACAUCAGUGGCGAAGGCGGCCAUCUGGGACAACACUGACGCUGAGGCACGAAAGCGUGGGGAGCAAACAGGAUUAGAUACCCGCGUAGUCCCUGUCUCUUAUAC